RNAcentral lists this long non-coding RNA (1245 nucleotides) under Anas platyrhynchos platyrhynchos (common mallard). RNAcentral describes it as "lncRNA (ENSAPLG00000018171.1)". Lineage: Eukaryota; Metazoa; Chordata; Aves; Anseriformes; Anatidae. The record is from RNAcentral.
GUGGUAUCUGUGGCUCCUGUAUAUAAAGAGAGGCAGUUUCCCUCUUGGGGCUUUCAUAUUGGAAAAUUUGUUGUUUGUUGUGGGAAGUCAUCUCUUAACUCUACUUGAAUGCAACAGCAGCUAGUGAUGAACCUUGAAAGACAGGCACUAGAGUACCACAUAUCAGAGAGCCCUUUGCCAGGGGUAGCGAUAUAGCUUCCCUGAGCAGAAACAGGGUUCCUAUCAAAGGGAAUACAUGUGACUGCUUCUAUGGAGCAACAAACCCUGUGAGACCAGAAACUGUUAAACACACUGAAUUGGAUGACUGAAGAAAUGCUCGUUUCCAGCAGUUAACAGUCGUUCCCUGCUCUCAUCUCCGUACCCAGAGAUCAGAACAUAGGACGAAACUCAGUUUUAAAAUCAAGCUGAAGAUAUUCCCCCUUCUUCUACAGAUAUCCACUUACAGUCUCAGUAUACUAAUUUUCUUGCACAUCUGUAGAAAAGCUUGUAUUUCAAGGGAACUUCUGGUAGGAGAGGAGCUUCACAAGGAAUAAUCUUCUUGCAAACCUGCAAAGACAGCAAUUAGUUAAGACUGCAGUGUUAUUUAAGAAUGCCUGGAUAUUUCCAAGAAACUGUAAAAAAGCCUAAAACAAAUAACAGCUUCAGCCAAGAGGUGCAAUUUCUAAAGCAAAAGCGACUUACUUUAAGCUUUGGAGAAACAUCUACACUUAAGACCCUUCUCUCUUUUUUUCCCCUCUAUGUGAAGCAUUUUUAUGAACUCGGCUCCAGCUCCCGUUUGCUCAAUGCUGAGGUUCCUGUGGCAGGCAGUGAAGCUGAGAGUCCACUCCCUUUUCUUUGCCCCAGGUGCCACCGAUGUUACCCCGGUGUCCCCAGGGAGCUUUGAACCAGGCUGGUGGGGCCCAGUCAGCACCAGAACCUCCUCUGCCUGGGGGCCUCUGGCUCUUCCCCCAAUUCCUCCACCGUUGAAAUCUGUACCCUGGUAAAUGCCUGAGGGUCAGGGGAAAAUAUGUUGGGGAACAGCUUUUCUCUGAGGAAAGGCUAACGGGAUCAGGCCCUAAAUUAUUAUCCUCGUGAUAUCUCAUAGAUCAAAUAACAGAGAAUGUGGAAGUAUAAUUAUACUCUAUAUGAUUUUAAGUUUAGAAAGUUAAUGCCCCCUGUUCUUUUUUAAAGCAGCUUUUAUGAUUAUUGAAUGCUGUAAACUGAAUACAAAAUAAAAGUCUGAGUUCUUUUCUUUUCUUUUAUUUC